UACGUAGGGGGCAAGCGUUGUCCGGAUUUAUUGGGCGUAAAGAGCGUGUAGGCGGCCUGAAAGGUCAGCUGUGAAAACUCGAGGCUCAACCUCGAGACGUCGGUUGAAACCAUCUGGCUAGAGUCCGGAAGAGGAGUGUGGAAUUCCCCGGUGUAGCGGUGAAAUGCGCAGAUAUCGGGAAGAACACCCGUGGCGAAGGCGGCACUCUGGGACGGUACUGACGCUGAGGAGCGAAAGCAUGGGGAGCGAACAGG
This 254-nucleotide ribosomal RNA is filed under the name uncultured bacterium. Its description in RNAcentral is "partial 16S ribosomal RNA". It matches the Rfam family "Bacterial small subunit ribosomal RNA", at positions 524 to 776 of the family's 1533-position model. The record is from RNAcentral.